Gallus gallus (chicken) is the source of this 975-nucleotide long non-coding RNA. Lineage: Eukaryota; Metazoa; Chordata; Aves; Galliformes; Phasianidae. The record is from Ensembl.
UUGAGAGUAGUGCUCAAGACACUGCUAAAACUAGGACAAUUCACUUGUGCCUGAGAUGAGAAAGGACAGACCUGGACAUUGAGAGGUGAGAACCAUGUGGAUUCCUUCCCACAGGACUUCAGCAUUUCCAGACUGGGAGACAGCGGGCAGUGGGCUGAUGGGAGGAAAGCCCAGCUCUCAACUGAGUCACUGAAUCAUCAGACGAUUCACAGAAUUUGUGUCUACCCUCAAGUAUGAGUCUAGGAAAGGAAAUGUGGUUCCCCAAGUCAAUUUUAUAAAUGUGAAAAAAACAAGAGUACAUGAGGACAAGUAUUUUCAGUGGGGAAUUCUGAGACACAUCCUUCAUCCCAGCAGACUACCAUAGAGGAUGAGGCCAACUCAUCCAUGUGCUAGUUAAAGAGAUGAAUUACUUUCUGUUCCUCUUCAAUUUUCCUGUAAACAUUGUGACUGUGCAGCCCAUUUUAUAUAGUAGCCGUAGAAUCACAGUGGUUGAAAAGGAUCUGUGGAGGUCAUCUCAUCCAAACUCUUCCACAAGCCCAAUCUAAGGCUGCUGAGGGCCAUGUUCAGAUGGAUUUUUAAUAUCUUCAAGGCAGGAAUUUAUCUCCAGGCAGCCUGGUCCAGAGUCUGAUGACUCUUGUGGUGACUUUUUCCUUUAUAUUCAAAGCAAAUUUUCCAUCUUGUAUAUUUUGUCACUUAUCCUAUCUCUGUGCAACCCGAAGGAGUAUAUUGUUCCAUCUUCUUUGUAUCAUCAUGCAGUUGUAGGUAUCAGUGCCACUUCCCAAAGUAGAGCAAAAGCAGCUCCCUCAGCUUCUCCAUUUAUUUCCUGUGUUCCAACAUACAGACUAUCUUGGCAUCUCUGCUAAGACAUACCAAUAUGUCAGUGAUUUUCUUUGGUCAAAAUGGUAAAUAAGAAACAGUCCAAGUGCUGUGGACUUCAAGUGUAAGGAACAGGAUGAGGUCAUUGUUGUAUGCAUG